Non-coding RNA from Neoarius graeffei (lesser salmon catfish), 579 nucleotides. The record is from the annotation of a RefSeq genome assembly. NCBI's taxonomy places the organism in Eukaryota, Metazoa, Chordata, Actinopteri, Siluriformes, Ariidae.
CAACUGCUACUGCAUGUUGUCCUAAUAAUCAUGAUGCAUUUGCAUUUAGCUCUUUUUAUUCUGAUAGUACACUGGCUUUCAACUAUAUGUAUGCAGCUCAUACAGGUCCAACAGGACCCAAGGGACCUGGUUCUGUCCAAAGGAUCAUCGAUGAAGGUCACCUGCUCUAUAACUGCUACAGGUAUUCCAAACCUGUACUGGUACCACUGGAAUGAAACAGCAGGUUUCACACUGGUCUUCACCUCUCUAGCUACUGGUUCAGUGAAUCCUGCCAGUGAGGGUCAGUUUAAAUCUCACAGACCUGAACAGCUUCAGAUCAUUCUGGAGUCUGAUGGAGUGAGUGAGAUCGGAUCUGCAGUGUGGUACUGUGCAGCCAGUCCCCACAGCAUCACAGUGUCAUCACAGAGCUGUACAAAAACCACAACAUCUUCUUAAGCUUGGGUUUUAUGCUCAAAUAUGUUUUAUGUUUAAUAUCCUGUUUUACAUUGUUGAUCAGCUCAUGGCCUUAAUGGAUAGAAGCCUAGCUGAUCUGUGAAUUCACAUUUGCGAUACUGAAAAAAGUUUUUGCUAUCUGCAUUU